Quercus robur (English oak) is the source of this 194-nucleotide long non-coding RNA. RefSeq lists it as uncharacterized. The transcript is spliced from 2 exons. The record is from RefSeq and is a predicted model, not a curated record. Lineage: Eukaryota; Viridiplantae; Streptophyta; Magnoliopsida; Fagales; Fagaceae.
UUCAAGAGAACCCUCGUACCAAAUAGAGAACUCCAUUACCAGCUUUUCAGAAGAAAAGUUGUUGGUUGCUUGGCGGAGCUGUUGAGGGGAGAAGGUACGGAUGGGAAUAGGCUUGGCAUUGCAAGAGGCAAUCAGCUUCUCAAGUAACUUGCUUCCAUUCUCAUAAAACGCUCUCUCUGUUUCCUCUCUUUCCU